Molecule: long non-coding RNA, 369 nt
Filed under: Numida meleagris (helmeted guineafowl)
Lineage: Eukaryota; Metazoa; Chordata; Aves; Galliformes; Numididae
Description: lncRNA (ENSNMEG00000007171.1)
Source: RNAcentral
AUGAUGAAUGUAUUAGCACAGGUGCAGAUGCUGCGCUUCAGCCUUCCUGCCCAGAAAGGCUAUCUGUCUGAUCUGAAGAAGGAAAGAAGGCUGAAGAUUCAAGGCUGUUCUGUCACCUCAUCCUUCCAUCACCUGCAGUCAGUAAGCCACAUUGCACAUCCAUCUGAACUGUUAGAGAUUAUCUGAUCCUUUUUCACAUCGGACAGAGGUGAUGCAAGAUUUCUCCCUCAAGCAAAAGAAAUAUCGACCACAUGGGAGAAAUCAUGGCCCUUGAAAGUAAACAAGCCAGGAUUUUGCCCAUACUGACUACGUACAUCUCACUCCUAAAUUACUUAUCUUUGCAGGAGUAUGUGGCACAAAUGACUGACA